Molecule: non-coding RNA, 48 nt
Filed under: Trichobilharzia regenti
Lineage: Eukaryota; Metazoa; Platyhelminthes; Trematoda; Strigeidida; Schistosomatidae
Source: RNAcentral
AUCGAGAUGACGAGUCCCAAAUAGGACGAAAGACGUUUUAUCCUGGAU